Molecule: non-coding RNA, 267 nt
Organism: Bhargavaea cecembensis DSE10
Lineage: Bacteria; Bacillati; Bacillota; Bacilli; Caryophanales; Caryophanaceae
Rfam family: Bacterial large signal recognition particle RNA
About the family: The signal recognition particle (SRP) is a universally conserved ribonucleoprotein involved in the co-translational targeting of proteins to membranes. Archaeal SRP consists of a 7S RNA and homologues of the eukaryotic SRP19 and SRP54 proteins. In most bacteria, the SRP consists of a 4.5S RNA and the Ffh protein (a homologue of the eukaryotic SRP54 protein).
Source: Rfam
CCGUGCUAGGUGGGAAGGUAGCGGUGUCCUGUAACCCGCAAUCCGCUCCAGCGGGACUGAAUCCCUUUCCGAGGCCGCUUGUCAUGCAAGGCCUGCCUUCUGCACGUAGUGAAGACGUUUGGGUCCUGCGCAAUGGGACCCCACGAACCAUGUCAGGUCCGGAAGGAAGCAGCAUUAAGUGGGUAAACCCAUGUGCCGCGGGGCAGCCUAAACCGAGCCAACGACAGGAGUAACGCUUGUGUGCAUCGGUCGAAGAAAGGUGCACGG